RNAcentral lists this ribosomal RNA (445 nucleotides) under uncultured bacterium. Its description in RNAcentral is "bacterial SSU rRNA". It matches the Rfam family "Bacterial small subunit ribosomal RNA", at positions 330 to 792 of the family's 1533-position model. The record is from RNAcentral.
ACCAGACUCCUACGGGAGGCAGCAGUAGGGAAUCUUUCACAAUGGGCGAAAGCCUGAUGGAGCAACGCCGCGUGCAGGAUGAAGGCCUUCGGGUUGUAAACUGCUUUUAUAAGCGAGAAAUAUGAUGGUAACUUAUGAAUAAGGAUCGGCUAACUACGUGCCAGCAGCCGCGGUAAUGCGUAGGGAGCAAGCGUUAUCCGGAUUUAUUGGGUGUAAAGGGUGCGUAGACGGAGAAGCAAGUUAGUUGUGAAAUCCCUCGGCUUAACUGAGGAACUGCAACUAAAACUACUUCCCUUGAGUACUGGAGAGGAAAGUGGAAUUCCUAGUGUAGCGGUGAAAUGCGUAGAUAUUAGGAGGAACACCAGUGGCGAAGGCGACUUUCUGGACAGUAACUGACGUUGAGGCACGAAAGUGUGGGGAGCAAACAGGAUUAGAUACCCCAGUA